CCUACGGGAGGCUGCAGUGAGGAAUAUUGGUCAAUGGUCGAGAGUCUGAACCAGCCAAGUCGCGUGAGGGAUGACUGCCCUGUGGAUUGUAAACUUCUUUUAUAUGGGAAUAAAUGUUCCACGUGUGGGAUGGUGUAUGUACCAUAUGAAUAAGGAUCGGCCAAAUCCGGGCCAGCAGCCGCGGUAAUACGGAGGAGCCGAGCGUUAUCCGGAUUUAUUGGGGUUAAAGGGUGGGUAGGUGGGUUGUUAAGUCAGUUGUGAAAGUUUGGGGGUCAACCGUAAAACUGCAGUUGAAACUGGCAGUCUUGAGUACGGGAGAGGUGUGCGGAAUGCGAGGUGUAGCGGUGAAAUGCUUAGAUAUCGCGAAGAACUCCGAUUGCGAAGGCAG
This 388-nucleotide ribosomal RNA is filed under the name uncultured bacterium. RNAcentral describes it as "partial 16S ribosomal RNA". It matches the Rfam family "Bacterial small subunit ribosomal RNA", at positions 338 to 724 of the family's 1533-position model. The record is from RNAcentral.